This 492-nucleotide ribosomal RNA is filed under the name uncultured bacterium. RNAcentral describes it as "partial 16S ribosomal RNA". It matches the Rfam family "Bacterial small subunit ribosomal RNA", at positions 29 to 507 of the family's 1533-position model. The record is from RNAcentral.
AGUGAACGCUGGCGGUAGGCCUAACACAUGCAAGUCGAACGGCAGCACAGUAAGAGCUUGCUCUUACGGGUGGCGAGUGGCGGACGGGUGAGGAAUACAUCGGAAUCUACUUUUUCGUGGGGGAUAACGUAGGGAAACUUACGCUAAUACCGCAUACGACCUACCGGUGAAAGCAGGGGAUCUUCGGACCUUGCGCGAAUGAAUGAGCCGAUGUCGGAUUAGCUAGUUGGCGGGGUAAAGGCCCACCAAGGCGGCGAUCCGUAGCUGGUCUGAGAGGAUGGUCAGCCACACUGGAACUGAGACACGGUCCAGACUCCUACGGGAGGCAGCAGUGGGGAAUAUUGGACAAUGGGCGCAAGCCUGAUCCAGCCAUACCGCGUGGGUGAAGAAGGCCUUCGGGUUGUAAAGCCCUUUUGUUGGGAAAGAAAAGCAGCAGGUUAAUACCCCGCUGUUCUGACGGUACCCAAAGAAUAAGCACCGGCUAACUUCGUG